GGAUUCCCCUAGUAACUGCGAGUGAAGCGGGAAAAGCUCAAAUUUAAAAUCUGGCGGUCUUUGGCUGUCCGAGUUGUAGUCUGGAGAAGUGCUUUCCGUGCUGGACCGUGUAUAAGUCUCUUGGAACAGAGCGUCAUAGAGGGUGAGAAUCCCGUCUUUGACACGGACUACCAGUGCUUUGUGAUGCGCUCUCAAAGAGUCGAGUUGUUUGGGAAUGCAGCUCAAAAUGGGUGGUAAAUUCCAUCUAAAGCUAAAUAUUGGCGAGAGACCGAUAGCGAACAAGUACCGUGAGGGAAAGAUGAAAAGCACUUUGGAAAGAGAGUUAAACAGUACGUGAAAUUGCUGAAAGGGAAACGCUUGAAGUCAGUCGCAUCGUUUGGAACUCAGCCUUGCUUUUGCUUGGUGCACUUUCUGAAUGAUGGGCCAGCAUCAAUUUUGACCGUUGGAAAAGGGCUGGGGGAAUGUGGCACCUUUGGGUGUGUUAUAGCCUCUGGUCGCAUACAACGGUUGGGAUUGAGGACCGCAGCGCGCCGCAAGGCAGGGGUUCGCCCACUUUCGUGCUUAGGAUGCUGGCAUAAUGGCUUUAAACGACCCGUCUUGAAACACGGACCAAGGAGUCUAACAUACCUGCGAGUGUUUGGGUGGUAAACCCGAGCGCGCAAUGAAAGUGAAAG
Molecule: ribosomal RNA, 674 nt
Filed under: Polyporus leprieurii
Lineage: Eukaryota; Fungi; Basidiomycota; Agaricomycetes; Polyporales; Polyporaceae
Description: eukaryotic LSU rRNA
Rfam family: Eukaryotic large subunit ribosomal RNA
Source: RNAcentral